AGACGAGAAGUCAAGGUCUGCGCGGUAACUUUGGUUGAGAUGGUGAAACCAAAGUACAGACGCCAUGGGUUCGUCUCGAAAAAGCAGAAGGAGAGAUAUGAUAAAGUAUCUGCAGGGCAAUUGACUCGAUGGAUUAGGGGAGCUAUCCUUACAGACCACAAUUACUCCGCCAGUGCAACCCCUGUCAGCGUUGAUCACGAUCACGAAUUGCCAAAUUUGAAUAUACUGGAAAGAGAGGAGGUGGUGGAUGGGGAAGAAGUGACUACAUCUGAGGAUUGGAAGGAGGGGAGGAGAGUAGUAGAACUUGGAGUGUUAGCUGAGGGCUUGCGGGGAUGUUGUAAAUGUGGCUUACCAUUACAACUUUCACACACUAUUUCUGUGUUGACAUAUGGUUUAGCUUCUUUGUUAAAGAAUUCAAAGUAUUUCUACAAAAGAAACAAGGGAAGGCAUCAGUUAUUUAACAGGAUGUGAUCUCCAGCAGGCCUCUGACAUCGUUGAAAUUCCAGCUCCAAAAACAAUUCCAAAGUAUGAUCAUCUCCCUUCAAGUCAGCUGUUAAAUGCUGAAGAGAUCUAUUUUGAUUUGGAAACUACUGGACUCGCAAGGGAUUCUCAUAUUGUGCAGUUGUCUG
Saccostrea cuccullata (small rock oyster) is the source of this 629-nucleotide RNA transcript. RefSeq lists it as uncharacterized. The transcript is spliced from 4 exons. NCBI's taxonomy places the organism in Eukaryota, Metazoa, Mollusca, Bivalvia, Ostreida, Ostreidae. The record is from RefSeq and is a predicted model, not a curated record.